RNAcentral lists this long non-coding RNA (214 nucleotides) under Lathyrus oleraceus (garden pea). RNAcentral describes it as "Pisum sativum (pea) long non-coding RNA (PSAT_LNC036888)". The record is from RNAcentral. Lineage: Eukaryota; Viridiplantae; Streptophyta; Magnoliopsida; Fabales; Fabaceae.
UUAAAGAGACGGGGAAGAGAUGAAGAGACUAAUCCUAAGCAUAAAUUUAAAAGUUAGGAGUUGAAAAGAUCUGACCAAUGGGUUGCAAUCCAGUAGACAAAAAUGUCAUAUAGAAACCCAAAUUCCCUUAGACAUUAGAAUCAAGCAACAAACAAGAUUUUUUUUAUGGUUUUUUGUUCUUAUUAUGUACAAUUAUGGCUAGAGACCACACCAA